Molecule: ribosomal RNA, 1087 nt
Filed under: Salmonella enterica subsp. enterica serovar Schwarzengrund
Lineage: Bacteria; Pseudomonadati; Pseudomonadota; Gammaproteobacteria; Enterobacterales; Enterobacteriaceae
Description: partial 23S ribosomal RNA
Rfam family: Bacterial large subunit ribosomal RNA
Source: RNAcentral
CAUAGGUUAAUGAGGCGAACCGGGGGAACUGAAACAUCUAAGUACCCCGAGGAAAAGAAAUCAACCGAGAUUCCCCCAGUAGCGGCGAGCGAACGGGGAGGAGCCCAGAGCCUGAAUCAGCAUGUGUGUUAGUGGAAGCGUCUGGAAAGGCGCGCGAUACAGGGUGACAGCCCCGUACACAAAAGCGCAUGUGCUGUGAGCUCGAUGAGUAGGGCGGGACACGUGGUAUCCUGUCUGAAUAUGGGGGGACCAUCCUCCAAGGCUAAAUACUCCUGACUGACCGAUAGUGAACCAGUACCGUGAGGGAAAGGCGAAAAGAACCCCGGCGAGGGGAGUGAAAAAGAACCUGAAACCGUGUACGUACAAGCAGUGGGAGCCCCACCACUAAGCCAGUGGUGAACUCCACAUACGCAUCCUUUGCUGAGGAUACGGUUAACGGAGCGAAAGCGACGUUCAACCUCAAAAGAAGCAGAGGGGGCUUAGUGGUGGGGUGACUGCGUACCUUUUGUAUAAUGGGUCAGCGACUUAUAUUCUGUAGCAAGGUUAACCGAAUAGGGGAGCCGGAGGGAAACCGAGUCUUAACCGGGCGUUAAGUUGCAGGGUAUAGACCCGAAACCCGGUGAUCUAGCCAUGGGCAGGUUGAAGGUUGGGUAACACUAACUGGAGGACCGAACCGACUAAUGUUGAAAAAUUAGCGGAUGACCUGUGGCUGGGGGUGAAAGGCCAAUCAAACCGGGAGAUAGCUGGUUCUCCCCGAAAGCUAUUUAGGUAGCGCCUCGUGAAUUCAUCUCCGGGGGUAGAGCACUGUUUCGGCUAGGGGGCCAUCCCGGCUUACCAACCCGAUGCAAACUGCGAAUACCGGAGAAUGUUAUCACGGGAGACACACGGCGGGUGCUAACGUCCGUCGUGAAGAGGGAAACAACCCAGACCGCCAGCUAAGGUCCCAAAGUCAUGGUUAAGUGGGAAACGAUGUGGGAAGGCCCAGACAGCCAGGAUGUUGGCUUAGAAGCAGCCAUCAUUUAAAGAAAGCGUAAUAGCUCACUGGUCGAGUCGGCCUGCGCGGAAGAUGUAACGGGGCUAAACCAUG